RNAcentral lists this ribosomal RNA (464 nucleotides) under uncultured bacterium. RNAcentral describes it as "partial 16S ribosomal RNA". It matches the Rfam family "Bacterial small subunit ribosomal RNA", at positions 28 to 506 of the family's 1533-position model. The record is from RNAcentral.
GACGAACACUGGCGGCGUGCUUAACACAUGCAAGUCGAACGGAAAGGCCCCUUUGGGGGUACUCGAGUGGCGAACGGGUGAGUAACACGUGAGUAACCUGCCCUUGACUUCGGGAUAACUUCAGGAAACUGGGGCUAAUACCGGAUAGGAAUCCUUGCUGCAUGGUGGGGGUUGGAAAGCUUCGGCGGUUUUGGAUGGACUCGCGGCUUAUCAGCUUGUUGGUGGGGUAGUGGCUUACCAAGGCUUUGACGGGUAGCCGGCCUGAGAGGGCGACCGGCCACAUUGGGACUGAGAUACGGCCCAGACUCCUACGGGAGGCAGCAGUGGGGAAUAUUGCACAAUGGGCGGAAGCCUGAUGCAGCAACGCCGCGUGCGGGAUGACGGCCUUCGGGUUGUAAACCGCUUUCAGCAGGGGCGAAGCUUGUGGUGACGGUACCUGCAGAAGAAGCACCGGCUAACUACGU